RNAcentral lists this ribosomal RNA (484 nucleotides) under uncultured bacterium. RNAcentral's name for it is "partial 16S ribosomal RNA". It matches the Rfam family "Bacterial small subunit ribosomal RNA", at positions 29 to 523 of the family's 1533-position model. The record is from RNAcentral.
AGUGAACGCUGGCGGCGUGCUUAACACAUGCAAGUCGAACGAGAACGGAUUAUAGCUUGCUAUAAUUGUCAGCUAAGUGGCGCACGGGUGAGUAAUGUAUAGGUAAUAUGCCUCUUACUAAGGGAUAACAAAUGGAAACGAUUGCUAAUACCUUAUACUCCUUAUUAACCUAAGUUAAUAAGGGAAAGAUUUAUUGGUAAGAGAUUAGCCUGUAUUGUAUCAGUUAGUUGGUGGGGUAAUGGCCUACCAAGACUAUGACACAUAACUGGUUGGAGAGGAUGAUCAGUCACACUGGAACUGAGACACGGUCAAGACUCCUAAGGGAGGCAGCAGUGGGGAAUAUUGCACAAUGGACGAAAGUCUGAUGCAGCAACGCCGCGUGGAGGAUGACACAUUUCGGUGCGUAAACUCCUUUUAUAUGAGAAGAUAAUGACGGUAUUAUAUGAAUAAGCACCGGCUAACUCCGUGCCAGCAGCCGCCGUAA